ACUCCUGCGGGAGGCAGCAGUGAGGAAUAUUGGACAAUGGGUGGAAGCCUGAUCCAGCCAUCCCGCGUGCAGGAAGACGGCCCUAUGGGUUGUAAACUGCUUUUAUCUGGGGAUAAACCUACUUACGUGUAAGUAGCUGAAGGUACCAGAAGAAUAAGCACCGGCUAACUCCGUGCCAGCAGCCGCGGUAAUACGGAGGGUGCAAGCGUUAUCCGGAUUUAUUGGGUUUAAAGGGUCCGUAGGCGGACUGAUAAGUCAGUGGUGAAAUCCGACAGCUUAACUGUCGAACUGCCAUUGAUACUGUUAGUCUUGAGUAAGGUUGAAGUGGCUGGAAUAAGUAGUGUAGCGGUGAAAUGCAUAGAUAUUACUUAGAACACCAAUUGCGAAGGCAGGUCACUAAGUCUUAACUGACGCUGAUGGACGAAAGCGUGGGGAGCGAACAGGAUUAGAAACCCGUGUAGUCCCA
RNAcentral lists this ribosomal RNA (466 nucleotides) under uncultured organism. Its description in RNAcentral is "partial 16S ribosomal RNA". It matches the Rfam family "Bacterial small subunit ribosomal RNA", at positions 335 to 797 of the family's 1533-position model. The record is from RNAcentral.